UGGACGAUGGAUGGUUAGAUGAGAGAAUAUGGGGGUACAAAUGUGGGGGGUGUCUCUGAAUGGUAAUUUCUAUUGAACACUGUGUUGUGAGGGGGCUACCAACCCUUAACUGUUUUGGAGUUUAAAUUGGAAGUGCCCUUCUGGUACGAGGCCUGACCGGAGGCUUUUAAUCUGGUACCACGGGUAACCAGGAGCCCACGGAACUUGUUCCGUCCUGGUUAGUUGGUGCGGCCCUUCGGGGAGUAUCGUGGUGGUUGUGGUUUAACACCCAAAUGCGGGUAGAGCAUCGCUCGACGUAGAGUUGCGUCAUACAACCGGGUUCCGUGACCCAGAUUACGGAAGAGGAUUAGAUAGUCCUCGUGCCAAACCAAGGUAGAAGUCACAACCAAACAGUCGUGUCUUUAAUUGGUACCUGCGGAAUUGUUCCAAGGGGGCGGUGAUUGACGCUUGAAUUAAUCCUAUACUAGGAACCGUGAGAUUAAGCCAUCGCGGCAGGUGCUCACGUUAAGCCCACUGACUUUCAUGUCCCUAUCUACUAUCUAGCGAAACCACAGCCAAGGGAACGGGCUUGGAAUAAUUAGCGGGGAAAGAAGACCCUUUUGAGCUUGACUCUAAUCUGGCAGUGUAAGGAGACAUAAGAGGUGUAGAAUAAGUGGGAGAUAUUAGACUUCGGUUUGGUAUCGACAAUGAAAUACCACUACUCUUAUUGUUUCCUUACUUACUUGAUUAAAUGGAACGUGUAUCAUUUCCUAGCCAUUAUACGGAUAUAAUUAUUAUGUCUUAUGGUAUUGGGUUUUGAUGCAAGCUUCUUGAUCAAAGUAUCACGAGUUUGUUAUAUAAUCGCAAACAAAUUCUUUAAUGAGAGAAUGCAUUUAUGUAUUAUUGAUUUAAAAAUUUGGUAUAACUCCAAUUACUCAGGUAUGAUCCAAUUCAAGGACAUUGCCAGGUAGGGAGUUUGACUGGGGCGGUACAUCUCUCAAAUAAUAACGGAGGUGUCCCAAGGCCAGCUCAGUGCGGACAGAAACCACACAUAGAGCAAAAGGGCAAAUGCUGACUUGAUCUCGGUGUUCAGUACACACAGGGACAGCAAAAGCUCGGCCUAUCGAUCCUUUUGGUUUAAAGAGUU
Molecule: non-coding RNA, 1126 nt
Organism: Drosophila virilis
Lineage: Eukaryota; Metazoa; Arthropoda; Insecta; Diptera; Drosophilidae
Source: Rfam